UACGGAGGAUGCGAGCGUUAUCCGGAUUUAUUGGGUUUAAAGGGUGCGUAGGCGGAUCGUUAAGUCAGUGGUCAAAUUGAGGGGCUCAACCCCUUCCCGCCAUUGAAACUGGCGAUCUUGAGUGGAAGAGAAGUAUGCGGAAUGCGUGGUGUAGCGGUGAAAUGCAUAGAUAUCACGCAGAACCCCGAUUGCGAAGCCAGCAUGCCGGCUUCCGACUGACGCUGAAGCACGAAAGCGUGGGGAUCGAACAGG
RNAcentral lists this ribosomal RNA (252 nucleotides) under uncultured bacterium. Its description in RNAcentral is "partial 16S ribosomal RNA". It matches the Rfam family "Bacterial small subunit ribosomal RNA", at positions 524 to 776 of the family's 1533-position model. The record is from RNAcentral.